CCUACGGGAGGCAGCAGUGAGGAAUAUUGGUCCAUGGGCGCGAGCCUGAACCAGCCAAGUAGCGUGAAGGAUGACUGCCCUACGGGUUGUCAACUUCUUUUAUCAAGGAAUAAAGUGAGGCACGUGUGCCUUUUUGUAUGUACUUUAUGAAUAAGAAUCGGCUAACUCCGUGCCAGCAGCAGCGGUAAUACGGAGGAUCCGGGCGUUAUCCGGAUUUAUUGGGUUUAAAGGGAGCGUAGAUGGGGUGUUAAGUCAGUUGUGAAAGUUUGCGGCGCAACCGUAAAAUUGCAAUUGAUACUGGCAGCCUUGAGUACAGUAGAGGUAUGCGGAAUUCGUGGUGUAGCGGUGAAAUGCUUAGAUAUCACGAAGAACUCCGAUGGCGAAGGCAGCCUACUAGACUGCCACUGACAUUGAUGCUCGAAAGUGUGGGUAUCAAACAGGAUUAGAUACCUCAGUAGUC
RNAcentral lists this ribosomal RNA (460 nucleotides) under uncultured bacterium. RNAcentral's name for it is "partial 16S ribosomal RNA". It matches the Rfam family "Bacterial small subunit ribosomal RNA", at positions 338 to 795 of the family's 1533-position model. The record is from RNAcentral.